CGCCAGACUCCUACGGGAGGCAGCAGUGGGGAAUAUUGCACAAUGGGGGAAACCCUGAUGCAGCGACGCCGCGUGAGUGAAGAAGUAAUUCGUUAUGUAAAGCUCUAUCAGCAGGGAAGAAAAUGACGGUACCUGAGUAAGAAGCCCCGGCUAACUACGUGCCAGCAGCCGCGGUAAUACGUAGGGGGCAAGCGUUAUCCGGAUUUACUGGGUGUAAAGGGAGCGUAGACGGCCAUGCAAGCCUGGAGUGAAAGCCCGGGGCCCAACCCCGGGACUGCUCUGGGAACUGUGCGGCUGGAGUGCGGGAGGGGCAGGCGGAAUUCCUGGUGUAGCGGUGAAAUGCGUAGAUAUCAGGAGGAACACCGGUGGCGAAGGCGGCCUGCUGGACUGUAACUGACACUGAGGCUCGAAAGCGUGGGGAGCAAACAGGAUUAGAUACCCCCGUA
RNAcentral lists this ribosomal RNA (446 nucleotides) under uncultured bacterium. Its description in RNAcentral is "bacterial SSU rRNA". It matches the Rfam family "Bacterial small subunit ribosomal RNA", at positions 329 to 792 of the family's 1533-position model. The record is from RNAcentral.